This 494-nucleotide ribosomal RNA is filed under the name uncultured bacterium. Its description in RNAcentral is "partial 16S ribosomal RNA". It matches the Rfam family "Bacterial small subunit ribosomal RNA", at positions 30 to 507 of the family's 1533-position model. The record is from RNAcentral.
AUUGAACGCUGGCGGCAUGCUUUACACAUGCAAGUCGAACGGCAGCGGGGAGGAGCUUGCUUCUCUGCCGGCGAGUGGCGUACGGGUGAGUAAUACAUCGGAACGUGUCGAGAAGAGGGGGAUAACCACCCGAAAGGGUGGCUAAUACCGCAUAAAUUCUGAGGAAGAAAGCUGGGGACCUAGGAAUAGGCCUAGCGCUUUUUGAGCGGCCGAUGUCGGAUUAGCUAGUUGGUGAGGUAAAGGCUCACCAAGGCGAAGAUCUGUAGCGGGUCUGAGAGGAUGAUCCGCCACACUGGGACUGAGACACGGCCCAGACUCCUACGGGAGGCAGCAGUGGGGAAUUUUGGACAAUGGGGGCAACCCUGAUCCAGCCAUGCCGCGUGUAUGAAGAAGGCCUUAGGGUUGUAAAGUACUUUUGUUAGGGAAGAAAAGUCAGCUGUGAAUAAUGGCUGAUACUGACGGUACCUAAAGAAUAAGCACCGGCUAACUACGUG